GAUCCAUGUUUCAUUUCCACCUUUCUCAUGUAUCCAUUUUUUUUCUUUAGCAAACCUGGCAGCUCCCUUAGUCCCCUAUCUAUAGAAAAUUCAGAGCAUUUACACACAGCUUCCCCCUUCUAUAAGAAAAAGAAUCGAGGUUGGGAACAACAAUGAAAGCCGCAAUGGGAAACUUGACCAUGGAAUCAAAAUUUACAGAGUAGGAAACAACCCUAAUUUUUGAGAUGCCAAUAAAGAGUCUUUGGUAGAUUAUUAACUUAAUUGUAAGGUGCCCAUGCAAACAUACUGACAUUGAAAUUUAAAGGAAUGCAUCUUUGUUGCAUGAAAUUCGUUGGUAAUUAGCAUACCAUUUACUGCCACUGCUGCUGCUUUCUGUAUUUCUGAUUCAUCUGUUUCAGUCUCCCAAUCAUCUUAACAUUUUAGCUCUCGCUAGUUUACCCACGAAAACAAGUCGAUUUACUAGGGUUCUUUUUACUAUAUUGGAGACUAGCAGAGAAAUUUUUUUAUUAUAUUGGAGACUAGAAGAGAAAUUCAAAUUAAAAUCCAAUCUUAAAAUCUGCUGCUUUUUGCAAUUCACUGUUCUCAACAAUGAUACAUGAUCCCACAGUCGGAUUAGCACCAACUUGAAAGACAAUAGAAACCCAAGACAAAAAAGAAGCUUAAAACUGAAAUAAAAAUGGCAGAUAACUAAGUGGACCCUAAAAGUACACCGAUAUUAGCUAAGACAUUGUGAAACCUCGUAUAACAGAGGGGCUGAUGGUUCUGUCUACUUGGAUCUCUGUCUCAUCUUUCGGCGCUUCCUCUUCAGUCUUCUCAUGCGCUUCUUCUUCCACUGUUACAUAUCAUGUAAGAUGCCAUAAAUGAAACAUCAUUCAAAGAUCUAUUGUAUAAAUAAGAACAAAUUAAGACAAAAAGGAAAACAGCAUUACCUUGGCUCUCAUGGUGAUAGGAUAAAAGGAAACUUGAUGCCGCUUUCUCGGUUAUUCGUUGAACCCUAGCCGGAUGCAGAGGCGGCAAUCAAUUGCUGGCAAGGAUUUCUACCAUCUACACCAUUUAUAUAUAUAACUUAUAAAGCCCUAGCAGGAAGAGAUACCGACCCGAUCCAGAGUCAACAAUAUUGGAUUACUUGAACUUGGGCCAACGAUUAGAAAAUAAUUUAUUUCCAAAUGAUAAAGGUUUCCCUGAAAGAGAAAGGAAUAGGUUUAGAAGAACAUAUAUUGCUCCAAAUUGUUAUUUACUAAUUAAAAAUAUUUUUUAUUUAAAUUUAAUUUUUAAAUUAUAUUAAAUAAAUAGUGAAUUUGGGUUAAGGGUCGAAACGAAUUUGAUAAAAAAGAGUGGUAAAGCUCAUUAGCUCUGUUUGUUUCAGUGGAGGCUAAUCAAAUGCAGGUGAAAUUUAAUUCCAGCAGGGCAGCUCAAUGGUUUUGCAUAUGAUUUGCCAUGAUAUAUACAGUAUGGAUGGCAAUCGGUCGGGUAGUACGCAUAUAAGGGGGAGCUAUAACAAUUUUUUUAGGGGUUAAUGAAAUUUUAAUAUUUUAUAGUCUAUAUUUUUAUAAUUUUUAAAAGAUUAAAUCUAAUUUUUAUCAUUUUAAAGGAGUCAAACUGUAAUUUUAUCUUUACUAAUUUAAAUUAAAAAAAUUAAAGGUCUAAAUAACAAUUUUGUAUUUUAGGGAGAUCGGAGCCCCUACCAACCCCCUAUGGAUAUUGUUAUAUUAAUUACCUUUUCAUAAUUGGAUGUACAAUCUUGAAAUUUAUUAUCACUUCUAUAAAUAUUGGAUGCAUUGCUAUUUAUUUUUAUUUUUUUCAAUAGUUUUAUAGUCAAGUAUUUAAACAUAAUUCUGCAAAAGAUAUGUAGUGGACCAGGUAGGAGUUGAUACGAGCAACCCAACCCAAUUCGAGGUCCACGAUGGAGAUGGACUUAGUUUUUUAAAGCCCAAUUACAAGAUUCAAAUACAAGUUUGUCAGGAAAACAUUUUCCAUCUUCCUCCACUCUUACCAAUUUGGUUCCUCCUUCUUUCGUUCUUCAUCUGUCCCUUCCUGAAUCUCAAUCAACGUAAGUUUUUUAUGCUUUUUAUUUUCUGUAUUUCAUCUGUCUGUUGAAGAAUCUUCUUCUUCUUCUUCUUCUUCCUUUUUUAUGCUUUUUUUUUAUGCUUUAUUUAAAAUCUGUUUGUUUCUGGGUUUUGCAUCGUUAGCUUAUUCUUUUUUUUGUUUUUAUUUUGAAAUUUUGGAAUUCAUUUAACUGUUGCAAAUAAUUUCGUAAUCAUUUUUCUUGCUUAUUUUUCGAAUCUCGUUUUUGUUGAUCUGGUUCGAGAGGGGGAGAGGCGGGGGAUUUUUGUGGAAGCUUUGUCGCUAAACUUGAGAAUUAAUUGAUAUGAGUAACGACUUUCAAGAACCCAGGUCAAAAGAAAAUGAUGGCUAUUCGAAGGUUUCUACAGUUUUAAAUCCUAUUUCUUCUGAAAAUUUUGUUAGUAAAAUAUCUCCAUAGAAUUCACUGCAAAGCAAGGCCAGUGAAGGCAGCAUUUUGAAUAUUCAUAUUGAAUAUGCUUGUUUUAUAAAUUAUAUGACCAUAAUUUCUUUCCGUUUAUCUAUAUUUUCAGCGUUUUAUUUUACUAAGGAACUGACACAACAUAGCAUGUUCUGUGGCUUAAUUGUAGACUGCUCAAUCUACCUCUCGAAGCUAAUUGUUGCUAAUGAGAAUAUCUUAGAAAAGAAGCAUGAUUUUUACUCUACCAAACAAAAUGAGGAUUUUGCUGCUUUGGAGCAGGUAGUCACAUUUUCUAUUAUUGGGGUGCCUGUGUCCAGGUUUCUAAUAAUUAUUGUGUUUUAUAGUUCAUCUCUUGGGCAAGUUAUACUACUUGUAAUAACAAUUUCCUUACUAACACAAAUAAACAUUUUUUGAAGUGUACUUUUUGAUGUAUUAGAAAUAUGCCAUUAUAAGUAUCCAUGGUUAUAUGUAACUCAUCUGAUGCAAUUUGACAUUCCAUAAUAUAAGCAAUUUAUUACUAGUUUAUGUUGUUCUAUCCAUAAGAACCAUGAUAUAAUGGAUGAGUAUAUUUACAUCCUUAGAUCUAUGUCUUGUGUUUGCCAUCUUGUCUUUUGGUGUG
RNAcentral lists this long non-coding RNA (3101 nucleotides) under Gossypium barbadense (sea-island cotton). RNAcentral's name for it is "long non-coding RNA (GBAR_LNC003383)". Lineage: Eukaryota; Viridiplantae; Streptophyta; Magnoliopsida; Malvales; Malvaceae. The record is from RNAcentral.